RNAcentral lists this ribosomal RNA (1462 nucleotides) under uncultured Bordetella sp. Its description in RNAcentral is "partial 16S-23S ribosomal RNA intergenic spacer". It matches the Rfam family "Bacterial small subunit ribosomal RNA". The record is from RNAcentral. Lineage: Bacteria; Pseudomonadati; Pseudomonadota; Betaproteobacteria; Burkholderiales; Alcaligenaceae.
GUUCGAUCCUGGCUCAGAUUGAACGCUGGCGGGAUGCUUUACACAUGCAAGUCGAACGGCAGCACGGACUUCGGUCUGGUGGCAGGUGGCGAACGGGUGGUAAUGUUGUCGGAACGUGCCUAGUAGCGGGGGAUAACUACGCGAAAGCGUACUUCGCCACCGCAUACGCCCUUCGAAAGCGGGGGACUGCUUCCGGGCCUCGCACUAUUAGAGCGGCCGAUAUCGGAUUAGCUAGUUGGUGGGGUAACGGCUCGCAAGGCGACGAUCCGUAGCUGGUUCGAGAAGGACGACCAGCCACACUGGGACGAGACCUGGCCCAGACUCCUACGGGAGGCAGCAGUGGGAAUUUUGGACAAUGGGGAAACCCUGAUCCAGCCAUCCCGCGUGUGCGAUGAGGCCUUCGGGUUGUAAAGCACUUUUGGCAGGAAAGAAACGGCACGGGGAUAAUACCCCGUGCAGCUGACAGUACCUGCAGAAUAAGCACCGGCUAACUACGUGCCAGCAGCCGCGGUAAUACGUAAGUGCAAGAAAGCGUUAAUCGGAAUUGCUGGGCAUUAAGCGUGCGCAGGCGGUUCGGAAAGAAGAUGUGAAAUCCCAGAGCUUAACCUGGAACUGCAUUUUUAACUACCGAGCUAGAGUGUGUCAGAGGGAGGUGGAAUUCCGCGUGUAGCAGUGAAAUGCGUAGAUAUGCGGAGGAACACCGAUAGCGGCAGCCUCCUGGGAUAACACUGACGCUCAUGCACGGCAUCAGAGAAUAACCGGAUUAGAUACCUGGUAGUCCACGCCUAAACGAUGUCCGGCUAGCUGUUGGGGCCUUCGGGCCUUGGUAGCGCAGCUAACGCGUGAAGUUGACCGCCUGGGAAGUACGGUCGCAAGAUUAAAACUCAAAGGAAUUGACGGGGACCCGCACAAGCGGUGGAUGAUGUGGAUUAAUUCGAUGCAACGCGAAACCUUACCUACCCUUGACAUGUCUGGAAUCCGAAGAGAUUUGGGAGUGCUCGCAAGAGAACCGGAACACAGGUGCUGCAUGGCUGUCGUCAGCUCGUGUCGUGAGAUGUUGGGUUAAGUCCGUGAGCAACCCUUGUCCAUUAGUUGCUACGAAGGGCACUCUAAUGAGACUGCCGGUGACAAACCGGAGGAAGGUGGGGAUGACGUCAAGUCCUCAUGGCCCUUAUGGGUAGACUUCCGCACGUCAUACAAUGGUCGGGACAGGGUCGCCAGCCCGCGAGAGAGCCAAUCCCAGAAACCCGAUCAUGGUCCGGAUCUUUGAUCUGCAACUCUGACACCGUGAAGUCGGAAUCGCUAGUAAUCGCGGAUCAGCAUGUCGCGGUGAAUACGUUCCCGGGUCUUGUACACACCGCCCGUCACACCAUGGGAGUGGGUUUGCAAGUAGUUAGCCUAACCGUAAGGAGGGCGAUUGCCACGGUAAGUUCAUGGCUGGGGUGAAGUCGUAACAGGGUAG